This 301-nucleotide ribosomal RNA is filed under the name uncultured bacterium. RNAcentral's name for it is "partial 16S ribosomal RNA". It matches the Rfam family "Bacterial small subunit ribosomal RNA", at positions 509 to 807 of the family's 1533-position model. The record is from RNAcentral.
CAGCAGCCACGGGAAUACAGAGGGUGCGAGCGUUAAUCGGAUUUACUGGGCGUAAAGCGUGCGUAGGCGGCUUCUUAAGUCGGAUGUGAAAUCCCUGAGCUUAACUUAGGAAUUGCAUUCGAUACUGGGAAGCUAGAGUAUGGGAGAGGAUGGUAGAAUUCCAGGUGUAGCGGUGAAAUGCGUAGAGAUCUGGAGGAAUACCGAUGGCGAAGGCAGCCAUCUGGCCUAAUACUGAUGCUGAGGUACGAAAGCAUGGGGAGCAAACAGGAUUAGAUACCCCCGUAGUCCCUGUCUCUUAUAC